AGUGGUUGGGGGGGGGGAGGUGUACAAGCCUGGGGARSRKAGCGUYAUWGWGGGWGAGARUCSYSYKYUUWGYCACGGAACWAYCAAUGCUUUUGUGAUGCGCUCACAAACGAGUCGCGUUGUUUUGGGAAUAGCAGCGCAAAAUGGGAGGUGAAUUCCUUCUAAAGCUAAAUAUUGGCGAGAGACCGAUAGCGAACAAGUACCGUGAGGGAAAAGAUGGAAAAGCACUUUGGAAAGAGAGUUGAAACAGUACGUGAAAUUGCUAAAAGGGAAAACGCUUGAAGUCAGUCGCGUCGUCCGGAACUCAGCUUUGCUUCGGCUUAGUGCACUUUUCCGGUUGACGGGCCAGCAUCGAUUUUGACCGCUGGAAAAGGGCUGGAGGAAUGUGGCRCCUUCGGGUGUGUUAUAGCCUUCAGUCGCAUACAGCGGUUGGGAUCGAGGAACGCAGCGCGCCUUAUGGCUGGGGUUCGCCCACAUUCGCGCUUAGGAUGCUGGCAUAAUGGCUUUAAACGACCCGUCUUGAAACACGGACCAAGGAGUCUAACAUGCCUGCGAGUGUUUGGGUGGAAAACCCGAGCGCGUAAUGAAAGUGAAAGUUGAGACCUCUGUCGUGGAGGGCAUCGACGCCCGGACCUGACGUUUUCUGAAGGAUCCGCGGUAGAGCAUGUAUGUUGAGGACCCGAAAGAUGGWGAACUAUSYCUGAAUAGGGYGAAGCCAGAGGAAACUCUGGGAUGGGAGGCUCGCAGCGAUUCUGACGUGCAAAUCGAAUCGUCAAAUU
RNAcentral lists this ribosomal RNA (779 nucleotides) under Fomitopsis subectypa. RNAcentral describes it as "partial large subunit ribosomal RNA". It matches the Rfam family "Eukaryotic large subunit ribosomal RNA", at positions 158 to 911 of the family's 3401-position model. Lineage: Eukaryota; Fungi; Basidiomycota; Agaricomycetes; Polyporales; Fomitopsidaceae. The record is from RNAcentral.